AUUGAACGCUGGCGGCAGGCCUAACACAUGCAAGUCGAACGGUAACAGGAAGAAGCUUGCUUCUUUGCUGACGAGUGGCGGACGGGUGAGUAAUGUCUGGGAAACUGCCUGAUGGAGGGGGAUAACUACUGGAAACGGUAGCUAAUACCGCAUAACGUCGCAAGACCAAAGAGGGGGACCUUCGGGCCUCUUGCCAUCGUGGGUGCCCAGAUGGGAUUAGCUAGUAGGUGGGGUAACGGCUCACCUAGGCGACGAUCCCUAGCUGGUCUGAGAGGAUGACCAGCCACACUGGAACUGAGACACGGUCCAGACUCCUACGGGAGGCAGAAGUGGGGAAUAUUGCCCAAUGGGCGCAAGCCUGAUGCAGCCAUGCAGCGUGUAUGAAGAAGGCCUUCGGGUUGUAAAGUACUUUCAGCGGGGAGGAAGGGAGUAAAGUUAAUACCUUUGCUCAUUGACGUUACCCGCAGAAGAAGCACCGGCUAACUCCGU
Molecule: ribosomal RNA, 489 nt
Filed under: uncultured bacterium
Lineage: Bacteria
Description: partial 16S ribosomal RNA
Rfam family: Bacterial small subunit ribosomal RNA
Source: RNAcentral